This is a long non-coding RNA of Neopsephotus bourkii (Bourke's parrot), 424 nucleotides long. RefSeq lists it as uncharacterized. The transcript has 3 exons. The record is from RefSeq and is a predicted model, not a curated record. NCBI's taxonomy places the organism in Eukaryota, Metazoa, Chordata, Aves, Psittaciformes, Psittacidae.
UUAUUCCCACGCUCACCUCGCUCCACUACACCGCGGGGGGGGCCCGAGCCCGGGCGCUCCAACCACCGCCUACCAGCCGCGUCCCGCCGCCAUGGCCGCCGCAGGGGAGUUCUGUGCAGUUCUUCUGACAAGUGCAAGAUGGGCAGUGGGAAUGAGACCUGUAAUGAAUCCACUGGAUGCACAGUGCAAGCAGAAGCGCUACUCUGGGAUGAAGAAGCUCUGCAGUCUCUGUGAGUUUUGCUCUGCAGGUGCUGGAGCGAUGAGGUUUCCAUAUCCAAAGGAUCCAUCCAGGAGUCCUGGACACAGAGUUACCUGAGCAAAGCUGCUGCUGGCCAUCCCAAACCCCAGGGAAAGAAAGUGUAUGUGUUCUUCAGAUCUCCUUGGAUAAAAUUUCCUGGAAGGAACAAGAGAAUAAAAGGAAAUC